This is a long non-coding RNA of Lactuca sativa (garden lettuce), 973 nucleotides long. RefSeq lists it as uncharacterized. Lineage: Eukaryota; Viridiplantae; Streptophyta; Magnoliopsida; Asterales; Asteraceae. The record is from RefSeq and is a predicted model, not a curated record.
AUUAAAAAUAUAAUAAAAGACAAAUUUACGUAUUAACAAAAAGACAAAAUAUGGACAAAAACAUCUUUUCACAAACACGUAAUAGCAAAUUUCUAACAUGAAGAGACCUGCAAAGAAAACAAAACUAAAGGACAAAUGAAGUAAGAAAAAAAACAUAGACCGAAGCUGCAAGAAGCACCAAACCACAUGGACCACUUGUGUAAUCUACUCUUAUUAAACGUAAAGAUGUACUAGAUCCCUUUACACUAACAAACACCGUAUCCAACUCCUCCCCCAUUAACAACAAAAAAGACGUAAGCAGACUCACAAGUCACAAAAAAGUAAAAACAUAAAUCUGAUUAAACAAAUGUCGAGGCUCAGCUCAGGGAAUUAGUAGCCGCGUAAAACAAAUAAGCCUCCCAACUCCCAAUAUCACUUAUAUAAAUAUGCAUUCAACUCAUUAACAAACUCCACAACUGUUUCUCCUUCUCACAAUAACCAUGAAGAAACCUGGAUUUUUAGCAGCUUCUAUCGCCGCAGCUUCUGCUACAACCGCCAUUAAUGGCACCAAAACUUCUCACGAGGAACGUGGGAUUUCGAUUAAACAUCAGACAGACUCUUCACAGGAGAAGAUGAGUUGUUGUUCGGAGAAAUUUGCGCCGAGGUUUGAUGGAUUGAGGUUUAUAGAAACGCUUAUAACUGCUCAUAGAUGACGAGAAGCCUUCGGAACUCUGAGAUCUACGCUAUUUGAUAAGGAUAAAUCGGAGACUUUCUUUUUUAAUGUUUAAGUCUGAUUUGAAUCCAUUUCAAUUUGGUUUCAUAAAGCCGAAGGCCUUUUGUAAUCAACUCAUUAUUAUCAAUUCAUGUGUCUUAAUCCAAAUUGUGUGCAUUUUUGUGCAUCUCAACACCAAGACAAGUGGACAAAUGGUUAUCUUGGUUUUUUUAAUUGUUUAAUGAAAUAAUUUAAAUAAUAAUUAAAUACUUGUUUUAUAUA